RNAcentral lists this ribosomal RNA (532 nucleotides) under uncultured bacterium. RNAcentral describes it as "bacterial SSU rRNA". It matches the Rfam family "Bacterial small subunit ribosomal RNA", at positions 355 to 902 of the family's 1533-position model. The record is from RNAcentral.
UGGGGAAUCUUGGACAAUGGGGGCAACCCUGAUCCAGCCAUGCCGCGUGAGUGAUGAAGGCCUUAGGGUCGUAAAGCUCUUUCGCCUGUGAAGAUAAUGACGGUAGCAGGUAAAGAAACCCCGGCUAACUCCGUGCCAGCAGCCGCGGUAAUACGGAGGGGGUUAGCGUUGUUCGGAAUUACUGGGCGUAAAGCGCACGUAGGCGGACCAGAAAGUUGGGGGUGAAAUCCCGGGGGCUCAACCCCGGAACUGCCUCCAAAACUAUUGGUCUAGAGUUCGAGAGAGGUGAGUGGAAUUCCAAGUGUAGAGGUGAAAUUCGUAGAUAUUUGGAGGAACACCAGUGGCGAAGGCGGCUCACUGGCUCGAUACUGACGCUGAGGUGCGAAAGUGUGGGGAGCAAACAGGAUUAGAUACCCUGGUAGUCCACAACCGUAAAACGAUGAAUGCCAGUCGUCGGGUAGCAUGCUAUUCGGUGACACACCUAACGGAUUAAGCAUUCCGCCUGGGGAGUACGGUCGCAAGAUUAAAACUC